Molecule: long non-coding RNA, 2121 nt
Organism: Tachysurus fulvidraco (yellow catfish)
Lineage: Eukaryota; Metazoa; Chordata; Actinopteri; Siluriformes; Bagridae
Exons: 2
Source: RefSeq, a predicted model, not a curated record
GGUGUCACGGGGUUUAGUGAUUCAUUACCAGCGAUUAAAGUGGUGUACAUUAUAUAUACAGUAUAGAUUCGGCAUCUAGAGAGCUGAUUGAGACAGAGCCCUUGAGUUGGUGUUGGGACUGAGCACAGGUGUUAAGGCUAUGGUAUCUGAUUGGUGUCCAUAGAUAGUGGUAACUUGACCGUAUAUAGUAUAACAGUACAGUACAGUGUUACCCUUUACUUAAUGCAUAAUGAUGUUACUUUUGCAGAUAGAGUAUUUAUACAGAAAAAAAGGUUAAGGUUUAACUCUAACAAACUGCUAGCGUAAAAAUAACAGGAUCGCUUAUAGAGUGUUUGAAUGAUUUAGAAACUCUACUGACAAAAAUCUUUGACUUAUUUUCAGUGCUCGAGGAUAGUUCAGGUAUGUGAACGACUAUUUACUUGUAACAUAAUUAUUCAUGACAUGAACUGAAUUUCAGUAAUAUGGAAAAAAAUCUGCAUAUUCUAUUAUUGUACAGUAUGAAAACAAUAUAAAUGUAAAAAUGUGUGCAUAUAAAUUGAGGACAAACUAAGACAGUAACAGAGUGGCAUUUACUUUCAAGCUUAAACCACUGCAUAGAAGAAGAGGAUGUGGUGGGAAUCACACCGAAAAAAAAAAAGAAAAAAGGUUGAGAUAAGGAAAUGAAGUUCCUCUUAGAAAUGAUGCUGUCUUUCUCAGCUCUGAUGAAGAAGGAAGCAAGAAUAAUUUAGGAAGUAUUAUUUAACCACUGAGAGGAAAGUAAGUUGUUAUAAACGUUUCAAUAAAGGCAUUUGUUUUGUUUGUCAUCUAUCUUUAUACGUACUCCAGAGUAUAAAUACGUCAAUGAAUUGCAGUAUGAAUUGUAGCAUAUGAGAAAACGGCCAUCUUAUAUUGUGCAUGCCUGUUUGUGCAUGUGUGUACAUAAAUUGAUGGAUAUUUAAUUUUUUUUAUUUAAGGUAACAUUAUUAAAAUACUUAUACUUACUUAUAUAAUCAAAUUAUGCCACUAUAUGGUGCAGAGUCGUUAUGGCAUUAUGUGUAAAUAUUAAGGUUUUAUUUGCCAUAAUUUCUCUUUUUUGUUUUGUUUUAAAAAUACAGCAUAUUAGAUGCCAACUAAAGUCUUUGAGACAAAAAUGACCUCAUUAUUAGCUUUCAGACAUCAAAAUGUAAAUGCUAAUGCUGUAUCUCCUUAAAGGUCACAAAAUUACACUAUUGAUUAUUUUUACAUGACUAAAACCUCAAUGUUAUCUGGGUGUGUUGUGUUUUUUUUUUCUUUAUAUAUCCACUAUAGUAUCCUCUCAUUCUAACACAUCCCUCUUCAAUAGCAUCUCACUGCAUGAUUAUUUUGUAACUUAUUGACUUUUCCUCUGAAGUAAUAUUUCAUUUAAUGAGAAAAUCCUUCUGGACCUCUCAUCAACAAGCCUACAGAACUGACACACAGGAUGUUCUAGGGUUUUUAUCCCCCAUCUAUCCAUACUGUAUUUCUGAAAUACUCAAACCAAACUGUGUGACACUGACAACCACUUUUAUUAAGAUUGUACAUCCGGAUAUAUAUAACUAGCAGUAGCAUUUUCAAAUAAGAAAAUCGCUGUAUCUGAGACGUUUCUCUCAAAGCAAACGUUAAAUAAAAUUUGAUAUGUCAUAGGUUUUUUGUUUUCAGGUUAUGUCCAAUUAUCUCCCAGAUGAAUAACAUCAGCACAAACUAGUGUUAAUUAAAAUGAUUUUGUCUCAGUUUCUUUGGGGAUUAAAUGGUCCAUCCUAUUAUUUAUUCAUCCAUCCAUAAUUUCAACCAUUUAUCCAUUCAAUUAUCUAUUCAAUUAUCCAUCCAUCCAUCCAUCCAUCCAAAAUUGAUGUGUUAACUACUGUAGCAUUGUGUUGCUGCUAUGUGUACGGCUGACUGCUUACAAUGAACAGAAGUACAUAAUAACAUGUACACCUAUACCUAAUAAUGUGGCCAGUGAGUAUAUGUGUUGAGUGUCAGCAGGCAUUCAGAAGCUGUAGUUGAGGUUGGAUAUGAUGUCAGAUUUGAUCAUUUAAUUUACAAAUGCUCUCUGUGCCUCUUUUUUUAGCACCUUUUCUUGUACAAAUAGUUGUUUUUCAGAACUAUUAUAAAUAUUAUAUAAUA